CGGCACCUCCAAGGAGCUCAUCGACAAGAGCACCAAGAUGUCCUUCGCCGGCACCGUGGCCUGGAUGGCGCCCGAGGUGAUCCGCAACGAGCCCGUCUCCGAGAAGGUCGACAUCUGGACGUGGACUCCUCGGCCAUCAUUUGGGGUGUGGGCAGCAACAGCCUCCACCUGCCCGUCCCCUCCGGCUGCCCCGACGGCUUCAAGGUGCUGCUGCGCCAGUGCUGGAACAGCAAGCCCCGGAACCGGCCGUCCUUCCGGCAGAUCCUGCUGCACCUCGACAUCGCCUCCGCCGACGUCCUCUCCACCCCCCAGGAGACCUACUUCAAAUCCCAGGUACCCGGCGGCACCCUGGGGACACCCCAGCAGCACCCCC
This 373-nucleotide long non-coding RNA is filed under the name Anas platyrhynchos platyrhynchos (common mallard). Its description in RNAcentral is "lncRNA (ENSAPLG00000018103.1)". The record is from RNAcentral. Lineage: Eukaryota; Metazoa; Chordata; Aves; Anseriformes; Anatidae.